GCCAGUGUGGCACAGUGGUUUGAGUGCAGGACUACAAUUCUGGAGACCAGGAUUCGAUUCCCUCUCGGCCA
This 71-nucleotide transfer RNA is filed under the name Phrynosoma platyrhinos (Desert horned lizard). RNAcentral describes it as "tRNA-OTHER". Lineage: Eukaryota; Metazoa; Chordata; Lepidosauria; Squamata; Phrynosomatidae. The record is from RNAcentral.